GUGGAAACACAGUGUUGAGAAUAUUGUGGUAACUUCUCCUAUCCUUGAAAAGGGCUCACUUCCUUUUGGUCACCAGGAAGAAAAGUGAGCUAGGAUCUGCAAUUGUGAAAUUUCCAGUUUUGCAGGAACGAUCAGUGAGUGGCCAAACUUGAGCUUUCCCAACAUUCUCUGUCCUUAAUGAUAUCGUUUACAGGAUUUAUCUUUCUUUUUCUUUCUUUCUGGGAAUUUGAACCCAGGGCCUUCACACAGAUCCUGCCCUUUUACUAUUAUUAUUACUUAAAAAUUUGAGACAGGGUCUUGUAAGUCCUAAGUUGCCCAGACUGGGUUUAAAUUUGUGAUCCUCCUGCCUCCUGUGACCAGAGUGCUGGGAUUAAUCUCACCAAUUUCUUUUUUUUUUGUUUUUUUCUGGCCACACUACUACUUCUUCUUUCUUCAUUCCUUCUUGCAAUCUCCUGUUGCGGAAAGUUUUCCAUUUAAUAUUUGCUAAUCCGGCAGCUGUUUUGUUUACUCCCACUUUAAAGUCCUGUCUUUUGGGAAAAGUAACCAGGUCUGUCUUACCCUCCAUUUCCUUGGAUCUCCCGGAACCACUAAGAAAAGGAUGAACAGUGACUGUAACAGAGGGAACAAACCUACCCUUGGGCUUCCUCCUUCGUGGAGGGCUGCUCCUGUAUGCUCGAGGUGUCCAACACGUGGUGGUGAAAAGCAGAGGGAGAGAAGGUAGGAGAGAGAAUGAGACCAAAAGAAAACUUCUUCUCAAGCAGGACCUGCGUUGAAAUAGAUUCAUCUCUCAUGUCCUUGCCCUGAAUUAAAAUCUAAGUCCGUUUGUGUUUUGUAUGGAUGAAGAGGUGUGGGACAUGCCAUAUUUGGUGAUUUUUUUGGAUAAAAAGGUUUCCUGUUUCACUCAUUUGUCAGGUAUUUCAGCAGUAUCUAGAAUUUCUGAUAGACACUCUACUUCUUUAAACAAAAAGAGCCACCAUUAUUCCUCUGUAAGUACAGAAUGUCACAUAGACCUCUGUUGCUAUUUCAGCUGUCACUUAGGGGGUAAAUACUGUAUCUCUAUGAUGUGUGGUGGUGCACAUGGUUACCCUUCUGCUGCCACCACUAUGGGAGCUUGGGACCCUCUUUCCAGCCCACCACUUCCCGGCAGUUUAUGUCUAACUUGCUGUGUACCCGGGAAUGAGAUCACUCCAGCUAUCAAGAUUUAAGAACGGGCCCAGUUAGUAUGAAAAGUAUCCAGUCAGAGACUUUCAUCUCGGCGCUCAUCCCAUAUACGGUACAGCGAUACCUCGGUUGUCGAAUAAUUUCAAAGCUCAAUCUUUCCACUCCUCAAACGGCACAAUUCAGGGGAAACAAAGAUCUGCUCAGGGUUGGUAACUUUGCCUGUUAGUGGC
Molecule: long non-coding RNA, 1391 nt
Filed under: Fukomys damarensis (Damara mole-rat)
Lineage: Eukaryota; Metazoa; Chordata; Mammalia; Rodentia; Bathyergidae
Description: lncRNA (ENSFDAG00000029861.1)
Source: RNAcentral